Molecule: ribosomal RNA, 468 nt
Filed under: uncultured bacterium
Lineage: Bacteria
Description: partial 16S ribosomal RNA
Rfam family: Bacterial small subunit ribosomal RNA
Source: RNAcentral
GACGAACGCUGGCGGCGUGCUUAACACAUGCAAGUCGAACGGAAAGGCCCUGCUUUUGUGGGGUGCUCGAGUGGCGAACGGGUGAGUAACACGUGAGUAACCUGCCCUUGACUUUGGGAUAACUUCAGGAAACUGGGGCUAAUACCGGAUAGGAGCUCCUGCUGCAUGGUGGGGGUUGGAAAGUUUCGGCGGUUGGGGAUGGACUCGCGGCUUAUCAGCUUGUUGGUGGGGUAGUGGCUUACCAAGGCUUUGACGGGUAGCCGGCCUGAGAGGGUGACCGGCCCAAAUGGGAACGAGAUAAGGGCCCAAACCCCAAGGGGGGGAGAAGGGGGGGAAAUUGCACAAUGGGGGGAAACCCGGGUGCGGAAACGCCGGGGCGGGAAGAGGGCCCUUGGGGUGGAAACCCGUUUUGCCGGGGAACAAGGGGGGGGUAAGGGAAAUGGGUAAAAAAGCCCCGGCUAACUACUU